RNAcentral lists this ribosomal RNA (497 nucleotides) under uncultured bacterium. Its description in RNAcentral is "partial 16S ribosomal RNA". It matches the Rfam family "Bacterial small subunit ribosomal RNA", at positions 28 to 507 of the family's 1533-position model. The record is from RNAcentral.
GAUGAACGCUGGCGGCGUGCCUAAUACAUGCAAGUCGAGCGAACAGACGAGGAUCUUGCUCCUCUGACGUUAGCGGCGGACGGGUGAGUAACACGUGGAUAACCUACCUAUAAGACUGGGAUAACUUCGGGAAACCGGAGCUAAUACCGGAUAAUAUAUUGAACCGCAUGGUUCAAUAGUGAAAUACGGUUUUGCUGUCACUUAUAGAUGGAUCCGCGCCGCAUUAGCUAGUUGGUAAGGUAACGGCUUACCAAGGCAACGAUGCGUAGCCGACCUGAGAGGGGGAUCGGCGACACUGGAACUGAGACACGGUCCAGAGUCCUACGGGAGGCAGCAGUAGGGAAUCGUGCGCAAUGGGCGAAAGCCUGACGGAGCAACGCCGCGUGAGUGAUGAAGGUCUUCGGAUCGUAAAACUCUGUUAUUGGGGAAGAACAAAUGUGUAAGUAACUAUGCACGUCUUGACGGUACCUAAUCAGAAAGCAACGGCUAACUACGUG